This 596-nucleotide ribosomal RNA is filed under the name uncultured Basidiomycota. RNAcentral's name for it is "eukaryotic LSU rRNA". The stretch from base 198 to 352 matches the Rfam family "5.8S ribosomal RNA". The record is from RNAcentral. Lineage: Eukaryota; Fungi; Basidiomycota.
CAUUAAAGAAAACUAGGGGAUGUGCUGGCUAUUAAGCAUGUGCACUCUUCAACUCUUAUCCUAUCCACCUGUGCACACCCUGUAGGCAGAAAUGAGGAACAAAUUUUGUUCUUGGAACAAAAAGUGUUCUCCUGUUUCAUUGCCUAUGUUUUUACAUACACCAAGUAAAGUUGAAGCAUGUGAGAAAUAUAUUAUACAACUUUCAACAAUGGAUCUCUUGGUUCUCGCAUCGAUGAAGAACGCAGCGAAUUGCGAUAUGUAAUGUGAAUUGCAGAAUUCAGUGAAUCAUCGAAUCUUUGAACGCAUAUGGCACCCUCUCUUGAAAUAGGAGGGUAUGCCUGUUUGAGUGUCAUUAAACUCCUCAAUACCAUUUUACUGGUGCUGGAUGUUGAAGGUCUGCUGGUAAAUCCCAUCAUCAGCUCCUUUUAAAUACAUGAGCAGGACUACAUGCAACCAGCUCCAAUUUGAUAAGCUUGUUAUCUUUGUUGUUGCUGGGAAUGAAUAAUGUAAUUGUCUGCUACUAGUUGUCCUGACCUUGGGACUUGCCUAAUGGGCAACCAUUUGAACCCUUGACCUCAAAUCAGGUAGGACUACCC